Long non-coding RNA from Oxyura jamaicensis (ruddy duck), 5702 nucleotides. RefSeq lists it as uncharacterized. The transcript is spliced from 2 exons. The record is from RefSeq and is a predicted model, not a curated record. Lineage: Eukaryota; Metazoa; Chordata; Aves; Anseriformes; Anatidae.
UGUCCCUGCCCAUGGCAGCGGGUUGGGACCAGGUCUCUGAAGUCCCUUCCAACCUGUGCCCUCUGUGACACCCUGAGUGCCAGGUGGGCUGAGAGUGCUGAGCCCCAGUGAAACCACCUGAGGCUGCUGUUCCUUUGGCCCCUCCAGGCCCCAGUUUGGGACAGAACACAGGCCUGGUGACACCAGCAGGACUCCUCCCCGUUAGCUGCUUCUGGGGCUCUGCCCAACCACCGUGGGUGUCGUGGCUGGAGGGGCUCCUGCACGGGGGGGGGCUCCUGUGGUGGGAGCAGGAGGCUCCGUCCAGGGCUUUGCUCAAGGCUGGUGCACGUGGUCAGAUAUCCCCAGGGCCUUGUGGCAGUAUUCAGGGACCUGCUUUGGUGGUGCUGAUAAAGAUGGCUUCUUCCAGGGUUCUCAGGCAAGCUGCUGAAAAUGUCAAAGAGUUUGACAUCAACAGUUUGCUCCUGCUCAUACUCUUACCUUGCCGUAUGCCUUGAUGGGGACUCCCAGAUGGGGACUGCCUGCUCAGGUUGUGUUUGAAAGCACUGCCUCGCGAUUGGCAUGGUUAGCUGUGUACCUCCAGCAUGGGUAACUUCCAUGUGCCCAUGGGGGCCACCAUCCGUGGUAAAAUAUCCAUGGGGGUAAAAAUAUCCUGCCAUGGGAGUAAGAAUAUGACAGGGAAAAUGCUUAAAACUAUCAGAAAAAACACUUUAAUGAGCACUUUUGCGUUGGAGUUGGGAGACUGGUAAGGAGGCAUACAGGGAGUCCUCACAACAGAACAAAAUGUUUUCUCUUUGAGGACAGGUUCCCCAGAUUUUCCACACAGCCUCUCUGGGUAUAUGGGAAACAAGCACGCUCUCCCAGGAUCACAGAGCAUUAAGGGUUUAAUAGGAGCAUGGAGACAAUGGAGAAUGUUGUUAAAUUAUACUUUUUCUUCAAGCAUCAGCUGUGCUGAUGCCAGGCAGGUCUCAGCUCCCUCUCAUUGACCUGCUGGAGUCCAGCCAGCUGUAUGCUGUGAUGAAGAGGAGCAGCUCUAAAAAAGCCAAACACCAGAGCCAUGCUAAACUUUCCAUGAUAAACCUGAGGAAUAAACUGGUGAGAUACUUGCCCUUGUUUGUACAGUAAUGAUAGAAAGAAUAUUAAUUGAAAAAGCUUUGCUAAAAUGGAAAAAUAGCUUGGGGCUCCUGGCCAGCAACUAAUCAGAAUGGAUGCUUUAGCACAAACUGAUGUUGUUGCAGGUUUUUUUCUCCUGCUAACCUGCUGUUGUGUUUAUGUUGUUGAGAAGUCUCCUCUUUGGAGGGGUCUUUAUAUAGAGAUCUGAGAGCAGGCUGCAGCUAAAGCUGUGCCAGCUAAUGAAACUCAUUGAAGGAGGUGACCUAGGCUUGGAAGUUGCUUCGGUAACAAAUACUCUCUUAGAAAUGUGCUGAACUUGUACUAUGAAGAGCUUCUGGCUUUGAGCAGAUUUUGAUACUGUGAAGCAUAAAUUCAGUAUCUAACAUUUAAUCUAAUUAUCCUAGUUUCUUACAUUGAUAAUGAACUUUGGGGCACUCUGUAAUUAAGUAACCAUUAAUAAACUUUCCCAUCAGUAUUGCAUUAGAAUAAGCCAUUAUGGAGUCAGUUUCAGCAGGUGUAGAAAUCUCAGAAUAAAUAAAGAUGAUAGAAAAUAAAUAAAAAGCAAGCUAUUCCAUGUGUUUCUGCUUAGUUCUUAGGGAAGGGCUUUGUAAUCGACCUACAUAUCACCAUUAGAGAUUCAAUUACCUGUAAUUGCUACCUUUAAAAGCGCUCCUUUGUUUAGAAAACAAUAUAUAGAUGGAUUUUGUCAUGGUGCACAAGUUGUGAAUUGAUUUGAGUUUUGUAAUCUAAAGUGGCACAAGAAAAAUACCUUGUACUCCUAAAUCUUCAAGGCAGAGGCCAAACUGCUCCCAGUUAAACUGGAGUGAGUCAAAAGCGUUCCACCAAGAUUUAUUACAUUAUUUUUGGAUUUCUAGGCUUGCAAUUCAUCACAGAAUUUGUCCCAUAACACAUAAUAGGUAAUAACAAUUAUUUUGUAUAGAAAGCAAACAGAAAGCAGGGCUCUUAAUCAAUUUAAAUGCUAAAAGCUUCAAAGCUCUUCCCAUGAUUACUCUGGAUUUACAUUGCAGUUUUUGUGCAGAAGGAUGAGAUCCUUCUUAUUUAUUGGCACGACAAAACUUUCCUUAAUGAUGCUUAAGGCUGCUACGUUACAUACCUCAUCUGUGAAGUCAAGGGGAAAGUCUUCAUCAAUAACCAUUAGCUUAAUAUCACCUCUAUCCCAGACAAAAAGGCACUCUGAGUUCCCAGCUUUACUGAGUUCCUGUGUAACUUGAUUUCAUGUUAAUACUACUGGGUCACCAUGAAAGUUUUGCAAUAGGUUGCAACUUUAUUAGAAUAUAUUUAAGAAUGGCAAUAAAUAACAGGAAAAUAUAAGGAUCAGAAGUCAGCAGUUUUUUAUGUAGUUGAAGAAAUGACUUGUACUGACAUGCCCACAUAGAAUAUACAUCAUUACAUUUCCCAGCCAGGAAAAAAAAAAAAAAAAAAAAAAAAAAAAAAGAUACUGUAAAGAUUAAGCCUCCACUAUAAAUGCUUUUUAUUAUUUUUGUAAAAGUUACAAACAGCCAAAAAUAUGACUCGGUAAUGAAAUUGCUGACAGGCGUUAACUACAGCACAAGAAUGCAAUGGUAUAAUACAGUUGUGCCAAGCUACAUUACAUUGCUGCAGUGAUUAAUUCACUGCUGGUUUUGCUGAAGCUGUGCUCUGCAGAAACAUCCGUGGGCCUGCUUAAUCCGUAUCUGAGAGUGUGAGAGGGAUAAGCACUGAGUAAGCACCGAGCAGAACUGCAGCAUGGUAGAGGACCCCUUUUGUAACACUGCACCACUUAAUAACAUAAACAGGAAUGGGAGUCAUUAGGAGGUUUGUAUAUAAUUAUUUAUGGACUAAAGGGGCAUGGUUCUUGCUAAGGCUCAUUUCUGCAGCUCCCAGACUGCUCCAACCCAACAGCCAGGGAUACUUUUGCUAGCUGGUAAUCCUAAGCCAAUACAGCGAGCUCUAAAUGCUCCCUUUUGUACUUCAGUUGUUGGGGUACCAAUUACAGCACAACCGCAUAGCUAUGGCAUGAUUUUCUAGGGCAAAAGCACAUCAGAACAGGCCAGAAAAUGCUCCCUGCAAUGAAGCCCAAACUGAUUUCCAAUGGACACCAAGAGCAGAGUCCAAUGAGAGCCUAGCACUGCCUCCUGCCCACCCAGCCCAUUUAAAGCAAAUAUUUUCAUAGCCAAGGGUUUAUUUUACAGCCCGUGAAGGGUUUAUACCUGUUAAAAAUAGUCGAUUCACACAUCUAUUGCCAAAUGAAAUUGAAGGUUAUUACUGGUGCUUGUCAGAUGGAAUCCCUUGGAAGAAGUCUUUUAUUAUUAUUGUAAUUUUUGUCAUUUGUUUCUGUUGUUACCUGCUCUAAUGUACAUUUUCCAUGUGUUCCCUUUCAGCAUUGUAUUAGAUAUCUACUUAGGUAUAUCCCAGUUUUUGAAAAAUAUGGAGAUUUUCACCUUUGUUCAGUUCCAGGAGAUGACCAAUUUUCUAAAUCUGUCAAAAAUAAUAAUAAUAAUAAUAAUAAUAAAAAUAAAUCCUGAUGCCAGACCUGGCAAUAUCACUUGGCUCAUUACAUGGACUAGCUUCAUUAGCAAAAAUCUAAAGGAGCUGAACCUUUUCAAUACCAUUGUAAGUGUGAAUAGAACAGUGAUGAUGCAAUUAGCUUAAUUAAAGUUAAUUAACACAUGUAUUCAAGGUAAGAAGGCUGUGACAAUGGGCGAAUACAACGGAGACUUGAAGAAACAAAAGUUCAGACCCUCUUAGCUUGUGUACGCUGCUGUAGCUGCCUACCAGUCACUGGAGUUUUGCUGGUUGCUGCCCACUGAGGCUGAGGUUUGGGUCUGUUACAGGAGGACCUGGAGGGUUUGGUUCCCAGUUCCUAAUAUUUGUGUAAGGAGUUUACUGGUCCUUCAUAAAUUAAUAUUUCUUUGAAUGAAUUAAUAUUUCUUUUUAGCUAUUCUAAAUUGUUGUAUUCAUGUAAUUAAAAUGGAAGCAGUGUCGUAUGACUAGCUGACCAACUACAGAGAACAGGCAAUUAGCCAACAUGGAAGGCCUGAAGCUAAUAUAUUGAUGUGAAAGCAUUUACCUGUGCCCUUGUCAGGCAGUACAAUUACGAAUACGUAUGUCAAAUCUGGGGUCAGCUCAGAAGCAGAAAUGUGUGUUACAUGUACAGGAAAAAGUCUGUAAAAGUAGCUGCACGGAACGGAUGCGUAUGUGAAUAUAUCUGCUGAUAACUUUUUCAUGGUGUUGGCAAAUGAAAGCACAUUUGAUUUGAAGCUUCUCAAUGUGGAGGAAUUUCAAGAGAUUGCUUGAUUUUUAUAAAGGGUUUCUGCACACAUGUGCACGCACACACAUUUUUUGGCAAGUUCUCCUGAGCUGUCUCCAUAUUCCAUCUGGCAGGGUUCAAGCCACAAGCCUUUUCUUUUUUGUGAGUGUGCUGCUGUAUUGUGGUUUGUUAACUCAAACUUUGAAAAAACCCUAAGCUGUGCUAAUGAUGCCAAUCUGGCCGCUGCCCUGCCAGUUUUUUUGCAGUUUUCCCUUAACCCUGAGCUGUGUGCCAUGUGUGAGGGGUGGCUAUGCAUCAACUCUCCUGCAAAACACUGGGAAAUCUGUUAAUUACUUUGCUCCUUAAUAAAGUGAUGUGCUAGAGCUGAGUGAGGUUACAAUAAAGCAGUUCAACAUAGCAAGAUGAGUCUAAGAUGCGUUUGCAUCUUGAAAAUAUUCUGAGCACUUGAAAGAGCAGGAAUAUGACAGAGGAGAGAUGGUGUUGAACUGGAGAGGCUUUGGGAAAAUACCUGACACGUCGUACUGCCUGGCCCAUACCAAAACCCAAGAGUUUGUCCUGGGACUGCAUUCAUCAGCCUCAUUUUCUUCUGACACAAACUAUUUAACAGGAUCCAGAGAGUCAAGCAGUGUCAGUGCGUUAUUCCUGUCUGUGGAAAGGUACCCCUUCUCUGAUUGACUGAUUAUGGCAAAAAGGAAAAAUCAUAUCCACCAAAUGCAUCAGAAUAAGACAUAAAACAGACAUAAAAAUGUCAGUUUAUUAUGUCAUCGCAGACACCAGCAGGAUUUGCCAAGCAGCCGCAUGUCACAGGUAUCUGCGAGGAUUAGCGAUUCUGGAUCAGUCACCCAGAAAUAAUGCGGAAAGCCCUGACUUGGCUUCUGAGUUCAGCACAAUUACCUUGCAGAGCAACCCGGAGUGGUUUGGAAAUCCUUGGAUGUUUAGGAACCGAAGGGAGAGGAGGGCAUUUUGCUCACAUUUCAGGAUGUUCAGCUUCACUUCUUCACCUUCCCACGGCUGCCCUGGCCCCUUGCACACCAUCUCCCCCUUCUCCGCUUCCCAGGCUGCAGCAGUUAAAAGUUAUUAUGACAAGGACAUUGCUCCAAGUGCCUCUGGAGGUUGUAAAAUAGACUAAUUGUGAAGUAUGUAAACAUCAAUGAUUGACUAUUAACCCACCCAUUAAAGACAGAAAACAAUUUAUACGAUGUAAAGAAGGGUAAUGCAGGAUGGAUUUUCCUUCUGUGCUGAGUUAGUCAGCAAUCACGAUGUAAGUUGACUUUUGUUGUCCCUUAUGCAGUAAAGUUCAGCCUUUGAUAACUUAAAAAAA